Non-coding RNA from Populus trichocarpa (black cottonwood), 92 nucleotides. The record is from Rfam. NCBI's taxonomy places the organism in Eukaryota, Viridiplantae, Streptophyta, Magnoliopsida, Malpighiales, Salicaceae.
CUUUUUAGGGCUAAACGUUAACAUUUUAAACGAGUCUCUUAUUUUUAGGGACUAGUGUCAUUUUUUUGACGUGUCUUUUAUUUUUAGGGACC